RNAcentral lists this ribosomal RNA (405 nucleotides) under uncultured bacterium. RNAcentral describes it as "partial 16S ribosomal RNA". It matches the Rfam family "Bacterial small subunit ribosomal RNA", at positions 28 to 526 of the family's 1533-position model. The record is from RNAcentral.
GACGAACGCUGGCGGCGUGCUUAACACAUGCAAGUCGAGCGGAGCGGCGAACGGGUGAGUAACGCGUGAGUAACUGCCCCCCUCUCUGGGAUAACAGUUGGAAACGGCUGCUAAUACCGGAUAGUGGGGGAUGACUCGCGUCCUAUCAGCUUGUUGGUUGGGUAGUGGCCUACCAAGGCGACGACGGGUAGCCGGCCUGAGAGGGCGCCCGGCCACAUUGGGCUGAGAUACGGCCCAACCUGCUACGUGAGGCAGCAGGGGGGAAGAGUGCACAAUGGGGGAAACACUGAUGCAGCAACGCCGCGUGCGGGAUAACGGCCUUCGGGUUGUAAACCGCGUUCAGCCAUUACGCGGUAGUGGCAGAGGAAGCACCAGCUAACUACGUGCCAGCAGCAGCGGUAAUAC